CCUAUGGGAGGCAGCAGUGGGGAAUAUUGCACAAUGGGGGAAACCCUGAUGCAGCGACGCCGCGUGAGCGAAGAAGUAUUUCGGUAUGUAAAGCUCUAUCAGCAGGGAAGAAAAAUGACGGUACCUGAGUAAGAAGCACCGACUAAAUACGUGCCAGCAGCCGCGGUAAUACGUAUGGUGCAAGCGUUAUCCGGAUUUACUGGGUGUAAAGGGUGCGUAGGUGGCGGGGCAAGUCAGAUGUGAAAGCCCGGGGCUCAACCCCGGUACUGCAUUUGAAACUGUCCAGCUGGAGUGCAGGAGAGGUA
This 305-nucleotide ribosomal RNA is filed under the name uncultured bacterium. RNAcentral's name for it is "bacterial SSU rRNA". It matches the Rfam family "Bacterial small subunit ribosomal RNA", at positions 338 to 659 of the family's 1533-position model. The record is from RNAcentral.